GUAGGUGGCAAGCGUUGUCCGGAAUUAUUGGGCGUAAAGCGCGCGCAGGCGGUUCUUUAAGUCUGAUGUGAAAGCCCACGGCUCAACCGUGGAGGGUCAUUGGAAACUGGAGAACUUGAGUACAGAAGAGGAAAGCGGAAUUCCACGUGUAGCGGUGAAAUGCGUAGAGAUGUGGAGGAACACGAGUGGCGAAGGCGGCUUUCUGGUCUGUAACUGACGCUGAGGCGCGAAAGCGUGGGGAGCAAACAGGGAUUAGAUACCCUGGUAGUCCACGCCGUAAACGAUGAGUGCUAAGUGUUAGGGGGUUUCCGCCCCCUUAGUGCUGCAGCUAACGCAUUAAGCACUCCGCCUGGGGAGUACGGCCGCAAGGCUG
Molecule: ribosomal RNA, 373 nt
Filed under: uncultured organism
Description: partial 16S ribosomal RNA
Rfam family: Bacterial small subunit ribosomal RNA
Source: RNAcentral